GCCCAAGUCACGUGACACAGAUUCCAUUCGCAACGCGUGUUUCCUCGAGCAGCGUCCGUCAACUCGAGCUCUGGCCGUACGGAGGUGAACAUGGCCGAGGUGUCGGAGAGGACGGAGAGGUCGCUUUAGUCGUUUCGUUUGCGGCUGGUUUCAUCGCCGGUUGGCAGGCAAACAGAAUGCGAAGAAGGUUCUUGGACUGGCGGAAAAAGAGGUUACAAGACAAGCUCGCAGAAACACAGAAGAAGCUAGACCUGUCAUGACAUAUCACGAAGUCGACCUGUGCCUCAGUCAUCGGUCAAUACUAACGUAGUAUUCCUGACUUCACAAACAGAACGAGGAGUCUAUCAGCACCUCUCCAGCUCUCAGCAGGAUCGGGCUUUCAACCUUGGAUCAAAGACACAAUCUUCAGGCUGGAGUAAUGCAAUACAACUUUCCCAAAGACUGUACACACAGCAGAAUGUUGAAUUCUAUAAAAAUCCGUCUGUGCUUUUCCUUUUCUCUGUCAUUUAUAAUAAAUUGAAAUAUUUUAUUAA
Molecule: long non-coding RNA, 533 nt
Organism: Carassius auratus (goldfish)
Lineage: Eukaryota; Metazoa; Chordata; Actinopteri; Cypriniformes; Cyprinidae
Exons: 2
Source: RefSeq, a predicted model, not a curated record